RNAcentral lists this long non-coding RNA (486 nucleotides) under Sarcophilus harrisii (Tasmanian devil). RNAcentral's name for it is "lncRNA (ENSSHAG00000027008.1)". The record is from RNAcentral. Lineage: Eukaryota; Metazoa; Chordata; Mammalia; Dasyuromorphia; Dasyuridae.
UUGUUAUGGUUACUAAGUUCAGAUGUUUCUCUCUGAUACAGGAUGUCUCCUCUCCUUCCUCCCACUUUCCUCCCAAGGAUAUAAUAGAAUUCAGAUCAUGCAACAUCAUGCCCCUGGAAGAAAGCAAUGGAAAGACCGACUGGGAAAAAAUCUGCCAGAAAUCUGAUGUUGUCUUUGGGAGAGCAGAAAGACAUCUUCAUGAAUAUGAAAACCCCCAUCUCUUUGACUCAGAUAUUGAGUGGCAAGAUCAGUUGGGAUCUGUUGACUUCAACCAUCUGAGACAUCUGAGACUUCAUUAUGCAAGACGCUGAAGGGAUUGGAUACCAUAAAACGCUUGUCUGGAUUUCAUUGGUAUAGGGAACUCCUAGAAGAAGACUCUUCCCAUACUAAUUCAUGUCAGAACAUUCUCUGCAAUUUAUAGGUUUAGAAAAUUGUCUGAGGAGUUGAAAGGAAGCAAUAAGAAAGGGAGGGGAUAAGGAAGAGAGG